CAUUGGUGAAAAGCUUGAGUGCAGAAGAGGAGAGGUGGAAUUGUAGUGGAGGAAAUGAGCAAUAUGGUAGGAACAACAUCGCGAAGGGGGAGGUCUCUGGUCUGUACACUAGACGCUGAUGUGCGAAAGCGUAGGGGAGCAAACCAGGCUUAGAUACCCUGGUAGUGCACGCCAACGAAGAGUGCUAAGUGUUAGGGGGUUUCCGCCCCUUAGGCUGCAGCUAACGCAUUAAGCACUCCGCCUGGGAGUACGACCGCCAGGUUGAAACUCAAAGGAAUUACGGGGGGCCGCACAAGGGUGGAGCAUGUGGUUUAAUUUGAAACGCGAAGAACCUUACCAAAUCUUGACAUCCUUUGACCACUUUAGAGAUAGAGUUUUCCCCUUUUGGGGACAAAAUGACAGGUGGUGCAUGGUUGUUGUCAGCUCGUGUCGUGAGAAGUUGGGUUAAGUUCCCCAACGAGGGCAACCCUUAAGCUUAGUUGCCCUCCUUAAGUUGGGCACUCAAAUUGACUGCCGGUGACAAACCGGAGGAAGGGGGGGAGGAGGUCAAAUCAUCAUGCCCCCUAUGAUUUGGGGUACACACGUGCUACAAUGGACAAUACAAAGGGCAGAUAAACCGCGAGGGCAAACAAAUCCCAUAAAAAUGUUUUCAGUUGGAUUGUAGUUUGCAACUCGAGUACAUGAAGCUUGAAUCGCUAGUAAUCGUAGAAGCAUGCCGGUGAAUACGUUCCCGGGUCUUGUUCACACCGCCCGUCACCCCCCCAGAGUUUGUAACACCCGAAGCCGGGGGAGUAACCCCUUAGGAGGUAGCGUCUCAC
RNAcentral lists this ribosomal RNA (818 nucleotides) under Staphylococcus sp. Its description in RNAcentral is "bacterial SSU rRNA". It matches the Rfam family "Bacterial small subunit ribosomal RNA", at positions 628 to 1460 of the family's 1533-position model. Lineage: Bacteria; Bacillati; Bacillota; Bacilli; Caryophanales; Staphylococcaceae. The record is from RNAcentral.